UAUUAUACUAAAUAUUAAAUGUUAUUUUGAAAAUGUACUUUAUUUUUAUAAUAUAACACAACCGUCUUAACUCGCUCUUCUAAUUUUCAUAUUACCAAAAUUAAAAUGCCGUCGGCAUAUGUGGAAAUGGGAUAUGUUGCCUCUUCGAAAUUUUCAUAUAAAUGAAAACUGCGCUGUUAAACUGCUGAAGAGACAGCUUCUAGCUUACGAUAUAUGGCAAACUAUGUAGUAUUCUAUAUCUAGUAAGCAAUGAGCAAUGUGGAGUCUGCACAGGCAGAGAUGCCCCGUUAUUAUAAUAAAAGAAUUUUUGAGAGUUGGUAACACUGUAAGGUUGGCACCAUCAAACAUGUCAACACAUUAAUUAUAUUUAUAUAUUUUGAAAUUGAAAUUUAAAUACACGAUGUUAUGAGCAAAGUUGA
Molecule: long non-coding RNA, 419 nt
Organism: Bactrocera neohumeralis
Lineage: Eukaryota; Metazoa; Arthropoda; Insecta; Diptera; Tephritidae
Exons: 2
Source: RefSeq, a predicted model, not a curated record